UUUCCUUUACUUCUUCUUCUUCUUUGGUGAAGUUCGGCUCGUGCACGAGGAAAAUCCAGUUCCUCGCCGUGUGGGAAAAACCCCUCAAAGAUGUCAAACUCAAAGACGGACCUGGACUUUGCAGACCAGCCGGAGAGAGUGUUCGUGGAUUUAGGGAAGUUGUGUAAAUCUUUUCAAAGAUCAAAUCUCGGUGCGGACGUCGUCUCCUCCACCUUUCAACCGGUGAUCAAAAUGGAGGCCAGGUGACUGCCCGGCUCCCGGAGAGAGGCGCGGUGGGGAGGCGGAGGACGAGGGGAGAAAACUUCCGCUCAACUUACUUUUAAUGAUAUUUUACAAAUAAGAUGAGUACACGUACCUUGUUUUUCACCUCCGCGGACAACCCGUAGGCAGGACCUUUGUUGAAAGACAUUGUCGACAAGUUGUUUCCUGCUGCUUGUGGCGACGAGACACUAACCCGAGAAUCAAAACUGCCCCAAGUUAUCAUCGACUUUCUCUUCCAAUGAAACGUCGCCGAGAGCUAAAUACUUCCUUUCUCUUUUACGGCCACCAAUUAGAGCGCUCCCACGGUUCCCGUCAAAGACGAGGCACCGAAGAGUCAAGAUGGUUCACUGCCGAGAGUUCGCCCGAGCGACACGGGGGGCGUGGAAGCGCGGGUUCUCAUAUAGAACUGGUGGGGGGAAAAAUCCCUAUCCUUCGUUAAUAUUCAACAUAAUACGUAAACAAGAGGUACUGUUGGGAUACUACAGAAGAAACCCACACAAGUUAAUGCCCUCUGUUUGUUUCUAUGUAUUUUGCUUUGUUUUGAGAGAGGGGUUUAUGGAGGGUCAACAUUCAUUUUUUUUUUUUCAAAGUGUCAGCUUUUAUAAGCUGAUCCAUUCACUUGUCAUCAUUUCCCCUUCACUAAGCAUCACUUAUUUAUUUAUUUAUUUAUUAUUAUUGCUAUACAUUUAUUUGUUUGAUGGAGUGUAUCGUGGAUCAAUAGGUGUGGCAACAAUGUCGGAUCAGGACACUAAAGUUGUGCUCAGGUUUGAGUGCAGACCAAGGAGGGAUGCAGAGUCCAGGUCUAGAGUUUAGACUGUUUAUCUACAUGCAGUUCAGCAUGUCAAAUGCAAAGUCCAUCACAGUUUCUGUAUACGCCUCUAUUGUAAAUCAAAGAUGGGAUUCUGAGACUAUUCGCUGCCGGUUGUAUGCGAUGACGUCACAGAUCAACGGAGUGUGUGUGUGCCUUCGAUCAUUGCAUUAACUGGGAUUGUGUGAUAGGUUUUCAAUUAAUGAUUAUCAAGUGUUGGAAUGAUACAAAGUGUGCACAAAAUGUGACAGUUACAUACUAAUAAACAAGCACUUGCUUUACAAGAAGGGCAUCAACAACACAAAUCUAGCAAGUCAAAUGCAGACAACUGUAGCUCACAGAAUAAUGUGACACGACUCAGGAUUACAAUCACAGGCCAGCGAUCAGCCGUGAAUCACAUCGUUUAAAUAGACAGAGAACAACUCUCCAAAUACACUUACCGCUAAAUAAACACUAACACCGUGUUCAUAGAGGCUUGGCCUUUUUAGAUUUGACUGUGUUUGUUUGAUUAAACCUGUUCCGUCUGGCUCUUUGUCUUGCCCCGGCAAGAGAGAUUACCAAAACAACUUUGACUAAAAACCUGCAUUAUCACAUGAUCUCAAAUAGUUGGUAAGCAACACACUAUAAACAGAUCUGAAGGUCACAGAGGCCUGUGCAGCAAAAAGAGAUGCCAGCAUAACUCUACAUCACAGACUCUGUGUUUUAACUUCAUCUAACUGUGCAAUACUCAGUUUCUAUUUGUGCAAUAUAAUUUUCUAUUUUGUUGCGUUACGUCGUACUGCAAGCUUACUUAUCCGUUACCUUUUUUUCUGAUGUUUCUUCUAUUUAUAAUUUCAACUUCGCGGCCAUGAGGAUUACCGUAUCUUAUUUUAUAAGCCAAAAACUAGGAAAACUAUGCUAGUGUCAUCUACUGUAGCUGCUGAAUUUGCUGUAAAUAUCAUACACAUGUAUUAAUCUCCCUCUAUAAGAGUAGUCUGCUGUUAUACAUGUUGAUACAUAUUAUAUUUAUGUGUAUUACCUUGCAUUUAACUAAAUUUGUUUUGCCCUUCUAGCUAGUACACUGCACUGACAAAGCCGUCAUCUAAGAUUCAUAUAGAAUUUGAUGAGUCAUAACAUAACAUAACAUAAGAUAAUAUAAUGAAAUGUUUGGGUUCAAGCGAAGCCGGAAGUAAGUCGGCCUCAACCAUCUUGCAUCGUUAAUCGAUCCUAGGCUCCACCUUUCCCCUGCUCUUCCUUAGGUCGCGAUUGAUAUCAAAAACUCCUUAUAUGGAAGGAAACUUCCCAAAUUCCUGAAUGGUGGGAGUGAUCCACGGGUCCCACCCUGCAUACCAGACGUGCAGUGGACGAGACGAGCUGUCGCACUUCUUUGAGUCACAGUCGGGCUGAGAGGGGGAAAAGAGAAGUUCGGAGCAAAGUAAACGAAGCACAAUGAGCUACUGCGGUGACGUAAUGUCGCUGCUGUGCAGCUCUUAGCCAAGUCGUCGAGAAACCGCAGGACCGGUCCACACCAUGCUGCUGCUGCUUCUGUUCGUACUGGACACACAUGACUCAUGUGCACCCCCACAUGGACGAACUGAGCAAGUGCAACGAAUUAGAGCAACUUCUACAGUGGAGCUCAAA
Long non-coding RNA from Scophthalmus maximus (turbot), 2689 nucleotides. RefSeq lists it as uncharacterized. The transcript has 3 exons. NCBI's taxonomy places the organism in Eukaryota, Metazoa, Chordata, Actinopteri, Pleuronectiformes, Scophthalmidae. The record is from RefSeq and is a predicted model, not a curated record.